This 468-nucleotide ribosomal RNA is filed under the name uncultured bacterium. RNAcentral describes it as "partial 16S ribosomal RNA". It matches the Rfam family "Bacterial small subunit ribosomal RNA", at positions 28 to 507 of the family's 1533-position model. The record is from RNAcentral.
GACGAACGCUGGCGGCGUGCUUAACACAUGCAAGUCGAACGGAAAGGCCCUGCUUUUGUGGGGUGCUCGAGUUGCGAACGGGUGAGUAACACGUGAGUAACCUGCCCUUGACUUUGAGAUAACUUCAGGAAACUGGGGCUAAUACCGGCUAGGAGCUCCUGCUGCAUGGUGGGGGUUGGAUAGUUUCGGCGGUUGGGGAUGGACUCGCGGCUUAUCAGCUUGUUGGUUGGGUAGUGGCUUACCAAGGCUUUGACGGGUAGCCGGCCUGAGAGGGUGACCGGCCACAUUGGGACUGAGAUACGGCCCAGACUCCUACGGGAGGCAGCAGUGGGGAGUAUUGCACAAUGGGCGGAAGCCUGAUGCAGCAACGCCGCGUGCGGGAUGACGGCCUUCGGGUUGUAAACCGCUUUCGCCUGUGACGAAGCGUGAGUGACGGUAAUGGGUAAAGAAGCACCGGCUAACUACGUG